GUCUCUGUGGCGCAAUUGGUCAGCACGUUCGGCUGUUAACCGAAAGGUUGGUGGUUCAACCCCACCCAGGGACG
Gasterosteus aculeatus (three-spined stickleback) is the source of this 74-nucleotide transfer RNA. It matches the Rfam family "tRNA". Rfam says of the family: Transfer RNA (tRNA) molecules are approximately 80 nucleotides in length. Their secondary structure includes four short double-helical elements and three loops (D, anti-codon, and T loops). The record is from Rfam. NCBI's taxonomy places the organism in Eukaryota, Metazoa, Chordata, Actinopteri, Perciformes, Gasterosteidae.